GCCUGCGCCCUGCCCUUAUUUUGGCAGACGUAAGUCUGCCUCCUUCUCAAGGUUGACCUCGGAUCAGGUAGGACUACCCGCUGAACUUAAGCAUAUCAAUAAGCGGAGGAAAAGAAACCAACAGGGAUUGCCCCAGUAACGGCGAGUGAAGCGGCAACAGCUCAGAUUUGGAAUCUGGCCCCUAGGGCCCGAGUUGUAAUCUGGAGAGGAUGUUUCUGGCGCGGCGCCUUCCGAGUUCCCUGGAACGGGACGCCGGAGAGGGUGAGAGCCCCGUACGG
Molecule: ribosomal RNA, 278 nt
Filed under: Leptographium piceaperdum
Lineage: Eukaryota; Fungi; Ascomycota; Sordariomycetes; Ophiostomatales; Ophiostomataceae
Description: Grosmannia piceaperda partial 28S ribosomal RNA
Rfam family: Eukaryotic large subunit ribosomal RNA (bases 54-278)
Source: RNAcentral